RNAcentral lists this ribosomal RNA (512 nucleotides) under uncultured bacterium. Its description in RNAcentral is "partial 16S ribosomal RNA". It matches the Rfam family "Bacterial small subunit ribosomal RNA", at positions 28 to 507 of the family's 1533-position model. The record is from RNAcentral.
GACGAACGCUGGCGGCGUGCCUAAUACAUGCAAGUCGAGCGAGCGGAACUAACAGAUUUACUUCGGUAAUGACGCUAGGAAAGCGAGCGGCGGAUGGGUGAGUAACACGUGGGGAACCUGCCCCAUAGUCUGGGAUACCACUUGGAAACAGGUGCUAAUACCGGAUAAGAAAGCAGAUCGCAUGGUCAGCUUUUAAAAGGCGGCGUAAGCUGUCGCUAUGGGAUGGCCCCGCGGUGCAUUAGCUAGUUGGUAAGGUAAAGGCUUACCAAGGCGAUGAUGCAUAGCCGAGUUGAGAGACGGAUCGGCCACAUUGGGACUGAGACACGGCCCAAACUCCUACGGGAGGCAGCAGUAGGGAAUCUUCCACAAUGGACGCAAGUCUGAUGGAGCAACGCCGCGUGAGUGAAGAAGGUUUUCGGAUCGUAAAGCUCUGUUGUUGGUGAAGAAGGAUAGAGGUAGUAACUGGCCUUUAUUUGACGGUAAUCAACCAGAAAGUCACGGCUAACUACGUG